CUGGCUCAGGACGAACGCUGGCGGCGUGCCUAAUACAUGCAAGUCGAACGCUCUCCCGGUGCUUGCACCGGGAAAGAAGAGUGGCGGACGGGUGAGUAACACGUGGGUAACCUACCUACAAGCGGGGGGAUAACAUUCGGAAACGGAUGCUAAUACCGCAUAGAUCUUUUUGUCUCCUGGCAGAAAGAAGAAAGACGGUUUCGGCUGUCACUUGUAGAUGGACCCGCGGCGCAUUAGUUAGUUGGUGAGGUAAUGGCUCACCAAGACGAUGAUGCGUAGCCGACCUGAGAGGGUGAUCGGCCACACUGGGACUGAGACACGGCCCAGACUCCUACGGGAGGCAGCAGUAGGGAAUCUUCCGCAAUGGACGAAAGUCUGACGGAGCAACGCCGCGUGAGUGAAGAAAGGUUUUCGGAUCGUAAAACUCUGUUGUUAGAGAAGAACAAGGAUGAGAGUAACUGCUCAUCCCUUGACGGUAUCUAACCAGAAAGCCAUGGCUAACUACGUGCCAGCCGCCGC
RNAcentral lists this ribosomal RNA (519 nucleotides) under uncultured bacterium. RNAcentral describes it as "bacterial SSU rRNA". It matches the Rfam family "Bacterial small subunit ribosomal RNA", at positions 19 to 518 of the family's 1533-position model. The record is from RNAcentral.